CCCACCGGAUUACGCACAGGCGUGGGCGGGAGGGGGCGUUCGCCUCCCUAUGAUUGGUUGAGUCAACUGUCAGUCCCCGCCCUGUCUCGCGGCAGUGGGGGGAGUGCGGUGACUGGCCGCGUGAGGCUGCGGGGGCGUCACGUGGCUCCCACAGUUACGCACGUGACGGGGCCCGCGCGGCGUCGCUGGCGGCCGUUGGUGCGGGGGGGAGGAGCGGCUCUGUGAGGCGCUCCCUGAGUGUGUGGUUUGGCGGCCCCGCGGCCUCACGCGGUGGGUGGAGGGAAACGGUGGCUGUGGGGUCAAAGGAAGAGCUGAGGAGGAGACGAGUAGAAGCAGAGGAGUGUGUGACUGGGACAGAGAGGAAGGAGUGCUCUGUCUGAGGAACACUCAGACACAGGGUUUGGUGUUGGAUGACGUGGUCUUUGUGGGUCCCUUCCAACUCAGGAGCUUCUAUGAUCACAGAUGCAUUUGGGAGAGAGAGAAAAUGGAGAUCUUCUAUAACAGCAGAGAACAAAUACAAAUGAGCAGCUUAAAGAAAAAAACAGAGAGGAAGAUGUCUGCUUUGUGCUUCCAGUACUGAAAAUGAACCAGUGUGCACAUAAAAGUUAUUGGCAGCCGUGCUGAGAACAGAGGUCAUGAAGCUCUUCAGGCAAGAUUUUAUUUACCUU
Numida meleagris (helmeted guineafowl) is the source of this 668-nucleotide long non-coding RNA. RefSeq lists it as uncharacterized. Lineage: Eukaryota; Metazoa; Chordata; Aves; Galliformes; Numididae. The record is from RefSeq and is a predicted model, not a curated record. The transcript has 3 exons.